GCCUUUGACUCGGACCCACAUUUACAUGGGGAAAGGCCAGUUCCCAUGGAUGAGGAUGUUCCAAAAGGUUGGUUUGGUGUUAUGAUGUGCAGUCCAUGUUCAUUGCAAUGCCAUGCCAAUCUUCGGGCCAUUCUUAUUCAUGUGAAUAGGGCUUUUUCCAAGUCAUUGUGGCUCCAAUUUAAAGGC
Molecule: non-coding RNA, 186 nt
Organism: Marchantia polymorpha subsp. ruderalis
Lineage: Eukaryota; Viridiplantae; Streptophyta; Marchantiopsida; Marchantiales; Marchantiaceae
Source: the annotation of a GenBank genome assembly